GUGAGUCAUCGAAUCUUUGAACGCACAUUGCGCCCCUUGGUAUUCCGGGGGGCAUGCCUGUUCGAGCGUCAUUACAACCCUCAAGCUAUGCUUGGUGUUGGGCCCUGCCGGCAACGGCUGGCCCUAAAAUCAGUGGCGGCGCCAUCGUGCUCUCAGCGUAGUAAUUCUUCUCGCUGUUGGGUCUCGGUGGACGCUGGCCAGCAACCCCCAAUUUUUCAGGUUGACCUCGGAUCAGGUAGGGAUACCCGCUGAACUUAAGCAUAUCAAUAAGCGGAGGA
RNAcentral lists this unclassified non-coding RNA (278 nucleotides) under Chalara sp. RNAcentral describes it as "partial contains 5.8S ribosomal RNA, internal transcribed spacer 2, and large subunit ribosomal RNA". The stretch from base 1 to 71 matches the Rfam family "5.8S ribosomal RNA", at positions 84 to 154 of the family's 154-position model. The record is from RNAcentral. Lineage: Eukaryota; Fungi; Ascomycota; Leotiomycetes; Helotiales.